Molecule: ribosomal RNA, 1362 nt
Filed under: Clavatula tripartita
Lineage: Eukaryota; Metazoa; Mollusca; Gastropoda; Neogastropoda; Clavatulidae
Description: 16S ribosomal RNA
Rfam family: Bacterial large subunit ribosomal RNA
Source: RNAcentral
AGUUAAGUAUAUUUGAGAUACAUAAUCAAAAGUUUUAUAAAUCAAAACAUUAUUAAAAUCAGUAAAGGUGAUUAAAAAUUAUUAAAUUUCUCUAAUUUUAAGUACUGUGAAGGAAAAUAAAUAACUAGAACAAAAAAAGAAUCUAAUUCUGUACCUUUUGCAUCAUGGUUUAACUAGAUUUUAAUUGGAUAAACAAUUUCUCGAAAUUUAGUGAGCUAUUUUUAACCCUUAUUUUAGUAAUCUAGGACUAAUUGUGGCAGAAAUUUUCCUAGAGUUAAAAAUAGAAAUGAAAUUUUAUUCGCAUUAAAUGAUAGCUAGUUCUUUCUAAAAGGUAUUUAAGUACUUUAGAUUAAUUUUUCUUUCUUGGCAGAGCCAUCAGUAAAUAAAAUUUAAUCGAAUUAGGUUCCUGAGGAUAAGCUCAGAAACUUUAUUAUUAUAUUUGCAUUUAAUUUAAGUUUAAAUUUAAGCUUGAAAGUAGCUAUAAUCUGUUGAUUUUGUUAUAAUUCAUUACUUUAAAAUAAAAUAUAAUUAAUUUGCUAAUUAUUAAGAAAGAUCUCUCUAGAAUUCAGCAUGAGUGGUAUUAAUGUUAAAAUGAGUAUUUUUAAUUUAUAUUAAAUUUGAAACAGUAUAAUUUCAAAAUUUAUUUAUAUGUAUAUUUAGAAAAUUAUAAAAAGGAACUCGGCAAAUAUAGUAUUCUACCUGUUUAUUAAAAACAUGGCUCCUUGUAAUGUAGCAGAUAGGGAGUCGGACCUGCCCAGUGAGAAUUCUUUAACGGCCGCGGUACUCUGACCGUGCAAAGGUAGCAUAAUCAUUUGCCUUAUAAUUGAAGGCUAGUAUGAAUGGUUUGAUGAGAAUACAGCUGUCUCUUUAUAAUUUUACAGAACUUUAUUUUAAGGUGAAGAAGCCUUAGUUAAAUUAAUAGACAAGAAGACCCUAUCGAGCUUUAAAGAAAUUAGUAGAAACUAAUUAAUAGUUAUAAAAAUUUAACUACUAAAAAUUUUAGUUGGGGCGACUGAGGAACAAAAAAAGCUUCCUUUAGAAGUAUAUAAACAUUCAAGUAUUGAUCCAGAAUUUUUGAUUAAAGGAAUUAGUUACCGUAGGGAUAACAGCAUUAUCUUUUUUAAGAGCUCUUAUCGAAAAAAAGGUUUGUGACCUCGAUGUUGGACCAGAAUAUCCUAAAGAUGCAGAAGUCUUUAAGGGUUGGUCUGUUCGACCAUUAAAAUUCUACGUGAUCUGAGUUUAGACCGGCGUGAGCCAGGUCAGUUUCUAUCUUUAAUUUCUAAAAUAAGUUUAGUACGAAAGGACCAGCUUAUUACAUUAAUUUGUUUUUAAUGAAUAAAUAUAAAGAAAAAUUAAAUCCAU